Chiroxiphia lanceolata (lance-tailed manakin) is the source of this 882-nucleotide long non-coding RNA. RefSeq lists it as uncharacterized. Lineage: Eukaryota; Metazoa; Chordata; Aves; Passeriformes; Pipridae. The record is from RefSeq and is a predicted model, not a curated record. The transcript has 3 exons.
CAAAUACCUUUUGGAAUAUGCAAAUGAGCUUGCUUGCUCUGUGUGUGUGUGUGUGUGUGUGUGUGUGAACUGCUCUUCAUCAAUCUUUUGUUUCUGUGGUCCAAUUUCUACGUUUUAGGUUGUAACCUUUCAGGAAUAUGUAUGGAACGUUUACCUAGGAAUGUGGAGUGCAACAUUCCACCUACUUCAUUUUUGAACCUCUGUUUUACAUAAAGGUAGCUCAGGAUUGCGUAUCUAUCAUAUGCUGGGACUUGAAGCAUCAAAAUUUAUGUGGUUGAGAAAUUGGUCUGAAUAGGUAGUGUUCAUACAGACAGCAGCUUUGGUUAUCACUGCAUCAGGGGUUGGCAUAAGGUUAAACUUUCCCUUUCAAUGUGAUCUGCAGUGAGCUCUGAGUCUGUAUUGGAGCAAGAGAUUGUGUAUAAAUACUGUAGAAAAUUCAGGCUCUGUCUCGGGUCUGUGUUUCAAACACAAGUUAAAUGCAUUUAAAUUGUUCCUCUUCUUCUGGCAUCCAUGCUGAGGGGUCAACUUGUUGUUCUUUGUGUCUUGAUAAAUAUUUAGGACAUGGACAGCAACAGCAGCAACAGAAGAACAGUGGCUUGGCGUUCAGAUCUUGGGCCAAGAAAAGUUUUGAGCCUAUAUGAAUGUCUAAAUUACUGAGCUAUUGAGUAUGUUUCUGCCUAGGAAUCCCAAGAUGUGUUCAGGCUUUGGGAUACUGUGCAGUUGGGUGCUGCCUGUCAGCUGGAGGUACAAGGACUGAUCCUGAACUGAUAAGGUUGGCUCUAAAUGGUGACUUUGACAGCAUGGUCUAGGCUAUGUUAGCUGUGUCGUACCAGAUUGAAAAGUUGAGACUUGGAGGAGCAAGUGAUAAUUACAUCCUUUCUG